This is a long non-coding RNA of Oncorhynchus tshawytscha (Chinook salmon), 609 nucleotides long. NCBI's taxonomy places the organism in Eukaryota, Metazoa, Chordata, Actinopteri, Salmoniformes, Salmonidae. The record is from Ensembl.
CAGGUUAGGUGAUAUGGAAACAGGUGAGGAGGCUGGGUACUGGGGUUAGGUGGUAUGGAAACAGGUGAGGAGGCUGGGUACCCAGGUUAGGUGAUAUGGAAACAGGUGAGGGGGCUGGGUACCCAGGUUAGGUGAUAUGGAAACAGGUGAGGAGGCUGGGUACCCAGGUUAGGUGGUAUGGAAACAGGUCAGGGGGCUGGGUACCCAGGUUAGGUGGUAUGGAAACAGGUGAGGAGGCUGGGUACCCAGGUUAGGUGGUAUGGAAACAGGUGAGGGGGCAGGGUACCCAGGUUAGGUGGUAUGGAAACAGGUGAGGAGGCUGGGUACCCAGGUUAGGUGGUAUGGAAACAGGUGAGGAGGCUGGGUACCCAGGUUAGGUGGUAUGGAAACAGGUGAGGGGGAUGGGUACCCAGGUUAGGUGGUAUGGAAACAGGUGAGGGGGCUGGGUAACCAGGUUAGGUGGUAUGGAAACAGGUGAGGGGAUGGGUACUGGGGUUAGGGGGUAUGGAAACAGGUGAGGAGGCUUGGUACUGGGGUUAGGUGGUAUGGAAACAGGUGAGGAGGCUUGGUACCCAGGUUAGGUGAUAUGGAAACAGGUGAGGGGGCUGG